This 334-nucleotide unclassified non-coding RNA is filed under the name soil metagenome. Its description in RNAcentral is "partial contains 5.8S ribosomal RNA, internal transcribed spacer 2, and large subunit ribosomal RNA". The stretch from base 1 to 120 matches the Rfam family "5.8S ribosomal RNA", at positions 35 to 154 of the family's 154-position model. The record is from RNAcentral.
GAUGAAGAACGCAGCGAAAUGCGAUAAGUAAUGUGAAUUGCAGAAUUCAGUGAAUCAUCGAAUCUUUGAACGCACAUUGCGCCCGCCAGUAUUCUGGCGGGCAUGCCUGUUCGAGCGUCAUUUCAACCAUCAAGCCCCCGGCUUGUGUUGGGGACCUGCGGCUGCCGCAGGCCCUGAAAAGCAGUGGCGGGCUCGCUGUCACACCGAGUGCAGUAGAUUACUCUUCGCUCAGGGCGUGCAGCGGGUUCCGGCCGUGAAACCCCCUACUUUUAAAGGUUGACCUCGGAUCAGGUAGGAAUACCCGCUGAACUUAAGCAUAUCAAUAAGCGGAGGA